GUAGGUGGCAAGCGUUGUCCGGGAUUAUUGGGCGUAAAGCGCGCGCAGGCGGUUCUUUAAGUCUGAUGUGAAAGCCCACGGCUCAACCGUGGAGGGUCAUUGGAAACUGGAGAACUUGAGUACAGAAGAGGAAAGCGGAAUUCCACGUGUAGCGGUGAAAUGCGUAGAGAUGUGGAGGAACACCAGUGGCGAAGGCGGCUUUCUGGUCUGUAACUGACGCUGAGGCGCGAAAGCGUGGGGGAGCAAACAGGAUUAGAUACCCUGGUAGUCCACGCCGUAAACGAUGAGUGCUAAGUGUUAGGGGGUUUCCGCCCCUUAGUGCUGCAGCUAACGCAUUAAGCACUCCGCCUGGGAGUACGGCCGCAAGGCUG
This 371-nucleotide ribosomal RNA is filed under the name uncultured organism. RNAcentral describes it as "partial 16S ribosomal RNA". It matches the Rfam family "Bacterial small subunit ribosomal RNA", at positions 527 to 896 of the family's 1533-position model. The record is from RNAcentral.